ACGAGUGCAUUAUUUCGUACAAGUAUGAAGUAAAUUUGUGAUUGUGAAUGUCAGUACAAAUACAAAACAAUACCGUGCUUCCUUUCGUCGUGCAUGUGACUGUAGAUAUUUUGACCUCGGUGACCUCUAGUAAAAAGUGAAUAAAUCUGUCAAUGAUGACAUUCUCCUUCUCCGUCAAUGAUGAAUGACGAAUCUCUCCGGACUUGUGGAGCCACGAGGGGAUGUUAUGACGACUGGUUGAGUUUUGUUACCGGUUGUCAGCCCCUCCCUCCUGGACGCUUACAAUCGGUAGAACUAGGAAUGACCUCAUCUUCAGAAAUGACUAAAGUUGCAUGAUGGAAUUGGAAAACUGUUUGAAGGCGAUCAUUCUAUGAUUCUUGCAUUGAUUCUUGGUUCAAGAUCAUCAUUAGGCCUGCUGCCGUUCCUUUUUUGAGUUGCAUCGUUGUUGUCCGGAUAAUAAUCAGCCACCUGGUACUACAUACAAUGCUUCCGCUGAUAGUUUACAAACAAGGAGAAAACAUCGCAGCACUAAACAUUGUAUCUGCUCCAGAAUCGCCGACAUCAGCAUCAUCAUCAUCAUCAUCAGUCACUCAACAGUCCAGAAUGCCAAUCCCAUUGACGAGCGACGACUACGCUUCAAAUAUUCCUGUUUCGACGAUAGCAUCACUUCCGACCAUCGAUCUGGCCAAAAUUGUUGAACGAUCUUCGCGAUUGUCUUCGUUGAGCUGUCGUAAGAAAGAAAGACAAUGGUUACGCUGAUUUUGCUCAAGUCAUCGCCUGUUCGCAUUUAGAUAUUUAUCGUUGGUGUUCUGCUUAUGUAACAAUUUGGUGGUACGAGACGAGCCGAGUUUUCUGCCUUAUAGUCUGAAUCGUUCUUCUAUAUUUUGAUUGUUUGAUCGUCGUCGAAGAACAGUGACGAAGAACCAAUGAAGAUUUUGUAAUGUGUCAUCGAUUAAAACACCGCCGCCGGUAGAUUGAUUGCGCAGCUGAGAACGAAUAGAAAUGCGAACGGAAUAAUUGUAUCGGAUUAUAAUUUACGUAACUCGAGAACGAAAAGAAAUACGAAUAGAAUCGUUCCAGACUGUGACCAGAUGAAUGGAAAAUGCCUCGAUUUUUCCGAAAGAUUCGUACAGCACGUUAUUAUUCGUUGUAUUUUAUUAUCUUGUGUAAUAUGUUCGUAGGUAGGUCUAGGUAUUACCUACCUAUACUUGUAUGUCUUGUAUGUAUCGUUCGUUUUGAUAAUUUUGUGAUAGAAUUACGCGUUGAUCACCCUUUGCCCCUCCCCUCUUUUGUUCGCAAUGUAUGUAAUUAUUUCCGAAUGUGGCAACUAUGUCAUUUGUUUCGUUUUGAUAUUUUUGGAAAUUUUCUUGUUUAGCCAUCGCGUUAUACCGUAGAUUUUAUUCAAUGAAUUGAUAACGAUGACUCCUCCCUGCACGAAUUUAUUUUGAAUCGUUUACUUGAAAUAUCUAAUAAUGGGUUAACGUUUUUUUCUGACUUUCCCCCCCCCUCCUCCUCCUCCUCCUCCUCCUCCUCCUCAACGAAUUGCUUGCUUCGCGUUUGUGACUCUGGUGGAUAUUUUAUUGCAUUUUUUUUUCUGAUUCGAUUGUACGUAGGUAUGAUUCGUUCGCGGAAAUCGGUCUUCGUCGUUCGUUUUUUCUGAUUUUGAACUUUAAGAGUGUUAUUUACGAAAGCAGGGGUUGAAAAAUUUUUGGUGGUUGGUACUUAGGUAGGUGAAGGUGUUUCGCCGGUUAUUCGAACUAAUUGUCGUCAUUAAUCUCGGUAUUGUGACGUCAAUUAGUUCGGAUGGUCGUCGAGGCAAAUAGCCUUCAUUUUAAACGUCAAUGUUGUCAAGUAUCAUGUUUACAUUAUACUUGCCAGCAUUGGUAUGACCUGAGGAUUCUGAUAAAGAUGUGGCGCGACUGUCCUCGGAGUCCGAGAAUACGGCAGCAAGUCAGCUUUAGACACGAAUCCGAGGGUGUGGUGGUGGCGCUGUUACCAAUUCGGUCCUUCUGCCAGGUAAUCGGUGGUCAUCACGACGCAGGUGUUCUGCAGUCUUCAUCUCAGCUGAGACAGGCACGCUGAAUGAGACGUUAUGACAGAACGUGUCGCUGGGUUGUGGAUUUUUUGGCUAGUUAGGGUAUCGUACUGGUUGCAGUUCGUAACAAUUUUUUUCCAGGUGUGUGAUAGUUGCAUGUAGCGUUGGUGGUGAGUUUAUUUGGUGUGCAGAUAGAGAUGUUUUGAGGAGUGCUGGUGGAGAGUUUAUUUUGUGUGCAGAUAGAGGUGUUUUGAGGAGUGCUGGUGGUGAGUGUUUCAUGUAGGGAGUAGGGAAUACGGUUGUGGCCGGUCUUGUCAAGUUCUGUCCGUUCUUGCCUGUUAAGCAUCAACCCACAACCGUACUUUUUCCACUCUCGCGACAACUUGGCGUCGUGUCCCUUGAAAAUUGUUUACUUUCUGAUAGCAUGGCGCCUACCUUAGCCAUUGGCGUAGUUCUGCACUCGCGAAUCCACGUACGUACUCGCGCGGCGUAUCGUGGAGUCCUCUGUAUUCGGCCGGUACGGAGCUGAUCAGCUGGAUUUCAUGCAGCAUCUACGAAAAGUUAGUGGAAACGCAUCCGCGGUUCACGGGCUCUCGCUCAGGUUCCGCCAUUGUGGUCAUCAAAGCCGUAUGGUGUUGGGGGAGCGUUAUUCGGCGACUUGUCUGCUAUCGUGCUUCGGCACAGCGGCCUGCUCAAUGGUGACGUAGUCCCCUGGCUCACCCCUGCGACGCUCAGUGGGGUCGUCAUUUAACGGCGGCUUCGACUGUAUAUCCAAGUCAAAAUAAGGGGUUGUCAUAAGAGGUUAUGACUCUUACGGUGGAAACGUUUGCGUUUCAUUCUAGUGGUGCGAGCCGUGGCCUAUGACCAGCUCAAUCUGCGAACCUUACUUACGGGCUGAUAAGAUGUGAGCGGGGAUGGUUAAUAUCAGCCUAUCCUGCGUAACGGUAUUGCCAUUUGCCCGCCGUCUACGAUCAGUCCCGCCUUCAUCUGGAUCCCCAGAGAUUCGUCUCUCCGAUCCAACCCCACGCAGUACAGUGGUGCACUCUAGGUUUUGCAUCACUUGCUCGCGUGAGAGUGAGUUUGUUUGAGAGAGAAAUGUCGAAGGCUGACCUGGUCUCGUUGCGUCGGUCAACUUGCCAGGCAGGUGAGCGUGUGUGUAGCGUGUAUGGUGAUCUGGACCAAGUACGAUGUCUGGUUGUUAAUUGAAUUUGAGUUUUUUUAAAAUUUUUAUGAAAAAUUACGUAGUGGGGAUGUAAUUGUAAAUUAACGAUGAAGGGUAAUCGGUUGAAAUUUUCGCUAAAUCGGGUGGUUGUAAUAUUUGAAAAUCGUCGAAGUUGCGGAGUUGGUGUUUGAUGGGGUGUUGAAUAAUGAAAUUCUGUUAUGGAACGUGUUAUUUGAAGGGUUAUUACUUAAUUAGUUGGAUUUUACGAUACGAGCUGCAAUAUUUUGAGAAUUUCGCCGCGCGUUGAAAUGGAAAAUAUGGUUGAAAAUGUCGAAAAUUCGUAAUUUUGAGUAAAUUCGCGAUGAUAUGAGCAGAAAAGGUUCAUUUUCGAGGGUUACAAACGUGUAUUUUUGGGAGAAAAAAUUGGCGUACAGUUUUUACAGUUAUCUAUUUUGAAUGUUAGUACAAUAUUUUCCCACCUGUCCCUCCUCUUGUUUUUAUUAGCCAGGUAUUUUUUAUUUGAAUUGGGUGCAAUUUUUUCGUGGAUACCGAAAUGUUAAUCAGGUGAAAAGUAGCGGAAUAAUCAAAAUUUUAAUGAACCCUGAGCCCUCCCUCCCUCCAUUCCGAGCCCUUUACAUCUAUUUUGAAUGUUAGUACAGUAUUUUCCCACCUGUCCCUCCUCUUGUUUUUAUUAGCCAGGUAUUUUUUAUUUGAAUUGGGUGCAAUUUUUUUCGUGGAUACCGAAAUGUUAAUCAGGUGAAAAGUAGCGGAAUAAUCGAAAUUUUAAUGAACCCUAACCCCUCCCUCCCUCCCUUCAUUCCGAGCCCUACCUACUUAUCAUUAAGUCGUAAUUUUUUGGUACCGAAUUUGUUUUAUUAUUGUUGAAUCUAUUUAUAAUAUGUGUAUUUGUGCUUGAAAAUAAGUUUGUAAUCACUGUGUGAUUUUAAUCAUUGUUGAUUUGGUGCGCACCAAUAUUGUAUGUAUUGUAUUAUCAAUUUAUGUGAUGUUGUGAUGUAAUAUUGUACUGAUCGAUCAAGGUUUUUCACGUCGAGCGGCCGACGUGUUUUUUAGCCCAGAUCGAUCAUAUCUGUGUAGAAUUAGUGUACAUAUUUUUUUUUCUUCGCCGCUGAUUUGAUUGAUUUGAUUUUUGGUUG
This is a long non-coding RNA of Planococcus citri (citrus mealybug), 4351 nucleotides long. RefSeq lists it as uncharacterized. Lineage: Eukaryota; Metazoa; Arthropoda; Insecta; Hemiptera; Pseudococcidae. The record is from RefSeq and is a predicted model, not a curated record. The transcript has 5 exons.